RNAcentral lists this ribosomal RNA (422 nucleotides) under uncultured archaeon. Its description in RNAcentral is "partial 16S ribosomal RNA". It matches the Rfam family "Archaeal small subunit ribosomal RNA", at positions 323 to 746 of the family's 1478-position model. The record is from RNAcentral.
CUACGGGGGGCACCAGGCGCGAAACUUUUACAAUGUACGUAAGUGCGAUAAAGGAACUCUUAGUGCUUAUGCACUGCAUAGGCUUUUGUUAAGAGUAAAUAUCUUAGCGAAUAAGUGGUGGGUAAGACUGGUGCCAGCCGCCGCGGUAACACCAGCGCCACGAGUGGGAAUCACGUUUAUUGGGCCUAAAGCGUUCGUAGCUGGUUUGGUAAGUUUUGAGUGAAAUCGUUGCGCUUAACAAAACGACGUGCUCAAAAUACUGCUAAACUUGAGACCGGGAGAAGUCAAGGGUAUUCCUGAGGGAGCGGUAAAAUGCUAUAAUCUCAGGGGGACCACCUGUGGCGAAGGCGCUUGACUAGAACGGGUCUGACAGUGAGGAACGAAAGCCAGGGGAGCAAAGCGGAUUAGAUACCCUGGUAGUC